RNAcentral lists this small RNA (355 nucleotides) under Sinorhizobium meliloti 2011. Its description in RNAcentral is "putative ncRNA". The record is from RNAcentral. Lineage: Bacteria; Pseudomonadati; Pseudomonadota; Alphaproteobacteria; Hyphomicrobiales; Rhizobiaceae.
GGCUGACGAUGCCCUGGGGAGAUCGGCGGAUAGAUCAAUUGACGGGGCUUGAUAUGGCUUCACGUGUCACGAUUUCAUAUUGAGUAGCUCUUGUUCAGGUUUAUUAGUCAAAAAAUUUGUAGAAUUGAAAGUGUUCACGAAUUUAUUUAUUUCAGGAACUCUUUAAACAUACGAGUUUCAUCCGUAUCUUCUCAUGGAAGAUGCGCAUUCACCUUACGAGAACUCAUGGAGAUGAUCCAGGAAGUUAAAUUAGGUUAGAAGGCAGGUGUGAGCACAGCCGCUUGUCGUAUUGUCCAGCGAGCAAACAUCCGGAUCUUCGCUAGGUUUUGGUCGGAGCCUUGCGACGGGAGGACUU